UCUUCAUUUUGAACACUCUCUCACCGGUCAGAGUGACAAGAGAGUGUGUGAAAUGAAGAGA
RNAcentral lists this microRNA precursor (61 nucleotides) under Pristionchus pacificus. RNAcentral describes it as "mir-8364 microRNA precursor family". It matches the Rfam family "mir-8364 microRNA precursor family". The record is from Rfam by way of RNAcentral. Lineage: Eukaryota; Metazoa; Nematoda; Chromadorea; Rhabditida; Neodiplogasteridae.